GCGCACUUAGCCUCAGUGGUUAGAGCAUCACUCUUGAAUGUUGAGGUCGCAGGUUCAAUUCCUGCAGUGCACA
RNAcentral lists this transfer RNA (73 nucleotides) under Phakopsora pachyrhizi. RNAcentral describes it as "tRNA-Ser". It matches the Rfam family "tRNA". Rfam says of the family: Transfer RNA (tRNA) molecules are approximately 80 nucleotides in length. Their secondary structure includes four short double-helical elements and three loops (D, anti-codon, and T loops). Lineage: Eukaryota; Fungi; Basidiomycota; Pucciniomycetes; Pucciniales; Phakopsoraceae. The record is from RNAcentral.